GGGUUGUGAGGUUAAGCGACUAAGCGUACACGGUGGAUGCCCUGGCAGUCAGAGGCGAUGAAGGACGUGCUAAUCUGCGAUAAGCGUCGGUAAGGUGAUAUGAACCGUUAUAACCGGCGAUUUCCGAAUGGGGAAACCCAGUGUGUUUCGACACACUAUCAUUAACUGAAUCCAUAGGUUAAUGAGGCGAACCGGGGGAACUGAAACAUCUAAGUACCCCGAGGAAAAGAAAUCAACCGAGAUUCCCCCAGUAGCGGCGAGCGAACGGGGAGCAGCCCAGAGCCUGAAUCAGUGUGUGUGUUAGUGGAAGCGUCUGGAAAGGCGCGCGAUACAGGGUGACAGCCCCGUACACAAAAAUGCACAUGCUGUGAGCUCGAUGAGUAGGGCGGGACACGUGGUAUCCUGUCUGAAUAUGGGGGG
Molecule: ribosomal RNA, 420 nt
Filed under: Escherichia coli
Lineage: Bacteria; Pseudomonadati; Pseudomonadota; Gammaproteobacteria; Enterobacterales; Enterobacteriaceae
Description: partial 23S ribosomal RNA
Rfam family: Bacterial large subunit ribosomal RNA
Source: RNAcentral